Molecule: ribosomal RNA, 328 nt
Filed under: uncultured bacterium
Lineage: Bacteria
Description: bacterial SSU rRNA
Rfam family: Bacterial small subunit ribosomal RNA
Source: RNAcentral
CGCGUAGGUGGUAGUGCAAGUCUGGGGUGGAAUCCCAGGGCUUAACCCUGGAACUGCCUUGGAAACUGUAUUACUUGAGUCAGUGAGGGGAGGGUAGAAUUCCUGGUGUAGCGGUGAAAUGCGUAGAUAUCAGGAGGAAGGCCUGUGGCGAAGGCGGCCCUCUGGCGCUGAACUGACACUGAGGCGCGAAAGCGUGGGGAGCAAACAGGAUUAGAUACCCUGGUAGUCCACGCCCUAAACGGUGGGUACUAGGUGUAGGGCUCGUAAGGGUUCUGUGCCGAAGCGAAAGCAUUAAGUACCCCGCUGGGGAUACGGCCGCAAGGUUGAA